GACGAACGCUGGCGGCGUGCUUAACACAUGCAAGUCGAACGGAAAGGCCCUGCUUGUGGGGUGUGCUCGAGUGGAGAACGGGUGAGUAACACGUGAGUAACCUGCCCUUCACUUUGGUAUAACUUCAGGAAACUGGGUCUAAUACCGGAUAGGAGCUCCUGCUGCAUUGGGUGUUUUGGAAAGUUUCGGCGGUUGGGGAUGGACUCGCGGCUUAUCAGCUUGUUGGUGGGGUAGUGGCUUACCAAGGCUUUGACGGGUAGCCGGCCUGAGAGGGUGACCGGCCACAUUGGGACUGAGAUACGGCCCAGACUCCUACGGGAGGCAGCAGUGGGGAAUAUUGCACAAUGGGCGGAAGCCUGAUGCAGCAACGCCGCGUGCGGGAUGACGGCCUUCGGGUUGUAAACCGCUUUCGCCAGUGACGAAGCGUGAGUGACGGUAAUGGGUAAAGAAGCACCGGCUAACUACGUG
RNAcentral lists this ribosomal RNA (468 nucleotides) under uncultured bacterium. RNAcentral's name for it is "partial 16S ribosomal RNA". It matches the Rfam family "Bacterial small subunit ribosomal RNA", at positions 28 to 507 of the family's 1533-position model. The record is from RNAcentral.